UAACUUAGGGAGAAGGGGUGCCUACGAGAGUAGGCCGCAGUGAAUAGGCUCAAGCAACUGUUUAUCAAAAACACAGGUCUCUGCUAAAGCGUAAGCUGAUGUAUAGGGGCUGACGCCUGCCCGGUGCUGGAAGGUUAAGGGGAAUAGUUAGCGCAAGCGAAGCUAUGAACUUAAGCCCCAGUAAACGGCGGCCGUAACUAUAACGGUCCUAAGGUAGCGAAAUUCCUUGUCGGGUAAGUUCCGACCCGCACGAAUGGCGUAAUGAUUUGAGCACUGUCUCGGCAAUAAAUCCGGUGAAAUUGUAGUGCAAGUGAAGAUGCUUGCUACCCGCGGUUGGACGGAAAGACCCCGUAGAGCUUUACUGUAGCUUAGCAUUGAAUUUCGGUAUUGUCUGUACAGGAUAGGUGGGAGACUUAGAAGCGAGGGCGUCAGCUUUCGUGGAGUCGUCCUUGGGAUACCACCCUGACAGUACUGGAAUUCUAACUGGAGGCCAUGAAUCUGGUCACAGGACAUUGCUAGGUGGGCAGUUUGACUGGGGCGGGCGCCUCCUAAAAGGUAACGGAGGCGCCCAAAGGGUCCCUCAGCGCGGUCGGAAAUCGCGCGUAGAGUGCAAAGGCAGAAGGGAGCCUGACUGCGACACAUACAGGUGGAGCAGGGACGAAAGUCGGGCUUAGUGAUCCGGUGGUUCUGUAUGGAAGGGCCAUCGCUCAACGGAUAAAAGCUACCUCGGGGAUAACAGGCUGAUCUCCCCCAAGAGUCCAC
Molecule: ribosomal RNA, 762 nt
Filed under: Clostridium botulinum C/D
Lineage: Bacteria; Bacillati; Bacillota; Clostridia; Eubacteriales; Clostridiaceae
Description: partial 23S ribosomal RNA
Rfam family: Bacterial large subunit ribosomal RNA
Source: RNAcentral